RNAcentral lists this long non-coding RNA (320 nucleotides) under Cicer arietinum (chickpea). RNAcentral's name for it is "long non-coding RNA (CARI_LNC002773)". Lineage: Eukaryota; Viridiplantae; Streptophyta; Magnoliopsida; Fabales; Fabaceae. The record is from RNAcentral.
AGGAAUAACAUACUAAAUUUGUAGAUCAAACGGGGCAAGUUUGCUACACACCUGUUACCACCACCAGAACCAAACCCUUAUUUUUGUUCUCGUCCAACUGUUCUCUUUUCUUCAUCACAUCUGAAAUAGGGAUUUCAAAUCCUUUUAUUUCCUUCACAUGGGCCUAGCCCAAUAAUACCUUUUUUUUUCUUUCUUUUUUUUCAAUAAUAAUAAUACUAAUGCUAAUAAAACUAGUGUGUUCCACUUGGGGAGUGAGCCCACCCAACAGUUUCCUCGUGUUCACAGUUGUGAUCUGCCAUGUUACUCAAGUGGUAUUUGUU